This 478-nucleotide ribosomal RNA is filed under the name uncultured organism. RNAcentral's name for it is "partial 16S ribosomal RNA". It matches the Rfam family "Bacterial small subunit ribosomal RNA", at positions 330 to 799 of the family's 1533-position model. The record is from RNAcentral.
CGUACACUCCUGCGGGAGGCAGCAGUGGGGAAUAUUGCACAAUGGGCGCAAGCCUGAUGCAGCCAUGCCGCGUGUAUGAAGAAGGCCUUCGGGUUGUAAAGUACUUUCAGCGGGGAGGAAGGCGAUAAGGUUAAUAACCUUGUUGAUUGACGUUACCCGCAGAAGAAGCACCGGCUAACUCCGUGCCAGCAGCCGCGGUAAUACGGAGGGUGCAAGCGUUAAUCGGAAUUACUGGGCGUAAAGCGCACGCAGGCGGUCUGUCAAGUCGGAUGUGAAAUCCCCGGGCUCAACCUGGGAACUGCAUUCGAAACUGGCAGGCUAGAGUCUUGUAGAGGGGGGUAGAAUUCCAGGUGUAGCGGUGAAAUGCGUAGAGAUCUGGAGGAAUACCGGUGGCGAAGGCGGCCCCCUGGACAAAGACUGACGCUCAGGUGCGAAAGCGUGGGGAGCAAACAGGAUUAGAUACCCGUGUAGUCCCAUG